AAGUGGCAAACAGACAGUGAUUAUAGACUAUUAAUUUUUAAGAAGCUAAUAAUUUAACGAUGUCUCAAAAUUCUGUAAUAUUUCCCUUAUGUUGUGUUUUAUUAUUCUGUGUACUUUCAAUAAAUUCGCAACCAGGGCUGGAUUGUUUAACGGGAUGUCAUCCAAUACCAUCCGAUGGGAUAAUCUCGACUUGCAGUAAUGGACUACCAGCAAUCCAAGACGGAUCAUGUGAAUGUUGUCCUCCUGAUCCUUCAACUGGACUUCCUCUUUCUGCAAAUUCUCGUUAUAAUCCUCCUUUCUAACGGUAUCUUCCUCCUCCCAAUGGUGAUAGUAAGCUAAUAAAUGAUUAAAAAUACGAAAUAUAAUUAAUCACUUACAAUUUAUUUGAUUCAAUUUUAUAAUGAAUCUCUAUCGCUUGAAUCUCCAUUAGUUAACGAAUUUCCUCUCCGUGUAUUGAUUACGAUUACAAACAUAUUUUUAAAAUCAUUAAAUUUACUAUGUUAUGUUAUUAUACUGUACGACUAAAUAUAAUGAUCAUAAAAUUUAGUAUAUUUCGUUUGUAUAUGAUUAGACGAAUGUAUUUAUUUUUAUGAUUGAUUUAAAAUUAUAAUUUUCACCGUUUUGUUAAAAAUAUAUCAAUAUAUAUAAACAUAUUUAAAUAUAUAUAAUUUUCUUUGGUAA
Non-coding RNA from Cinara cedri, 681 nucleotides. NCBI's taxonomy places the organism in Eukaryota, Metazoa, Arthropoda, Insecta, Hemiptera, Aphididae. The record is from the annotation of a GenBank genome assembly.